UUAAGUUCAGCGGGUAUUCCUACCUGAUCCGAGGUCAACCUUGUUAAAAAUUCUCCCUAAGGGGAGGCAGACCGUGCCCCGCGAGCCCUUAUCCAGUACGUGCUCCGUGAAGAACUCAGUGUACCGGGGGUCCAACGAGGCCGCCGUCAUUGUCUUUGGGAGGGGUGGGACUUAGUAAUACGUCCUACCGACCGUCCAAC
Molecule: unclassified non-coding RNA, 200 nt
Filed under: Veronaea sp.
Lineage: Eukaryota; Fungi; Ascomycota; Eurotiomycetes; Chaetothyriales; Herpotrichiellaceae
Description: partial internal transcribed spacer 2
Source: RNAcentral